Molecule: non-coding RNA, 482 nt
Organism: Plutella xylostella (diamondback moth)
Lineage: Eukaryota; Metazoa; Arthropoda; Insecta; Lepidoptera; Plutellidae
Source: RefSeq, a predicted model, not a curated record
UGGAGAUCAGCUAUCAACAUCCUAAACCAGUGUACAGUCGCAGACACAAGCGUUUCAUCUCUCUCUUCCGACAGCCAUCGGAAGCGGCCGAAAGCGAGAACUUUCUCAUACGAAUGUUGGAAUUCCUGAUCAAACACAGGAAGAAUAUAGUCCCAGUUGUAUCAGUGGUCAGAGAGAUACAUACGAUGGUGAAGAGUAGUAAUGGGGAGUUGGCUCAUACGACAAAAGAGAGAAAUAACUAUAUUGGGACGCCCCCACCAGCGGCCCCCCCUUUGUCGUUUAACUUGGAGUUGGCGAAAGACCCCCCAGGGAAGGCGUUUGUUAAAAAGAUAUUGGGUUUAGGAAGCGCGGAUAAGCUGUCCAUUUCGAAUGGAGGAGCCGGGCUGUUUGGUAGGAAGUGAUGUGCCCGCGGCAAGUACUUUUUAAUGACACACAGAAAAGCGCCAUACUCCAUAGAAUAAAAUGUAUGCAUAGACGUUGUA